Molecule: ribosomal RNA, 433 nt
Filed under: uncultured bacterium
Lineage: Bacteria
Description: partial 16S ribosomal RNA
Rfam family: Bacterial small subunit ribosomal RNA
Source: RNAcentral
AACGAACGCUGGCGGCAUGCCUAACACAUGCAAGUCGAACGAGACCUUCGGGUCUAGUGGCGCACGGGUGCGUAACGCGUGGGAACCUGCCCUUAGGUUCGGAAUAACUCCCCGAAAGGGGUGCUAAUCCCGGAUAAUGUCUUCGGCCCAAAGAUUUAUCGCCUUUGGAUGGGCCCGCGUUGGAUUAGCUAGUUGGUAGGGUAAAAGCCUACCAAGGCGACGAUCCAUAGCUGGUCUGAGAGGAUGAUCAGCCACACUGGGACUGAGACACGGCCCAGACUCCUACGGGAGGCAGCAGUGGGGAAUAUUGGACAAUGGGCGAAAGCCUGAUCCAGCAAUGCCGCGUGAGUGAUGAAGGCCUUAGGGUUGUAAAGCUCUUUUACCCGGGAUGAUAAUGACAGUACCGGGAGAAUAAGCUCCGGCUAACUCCGUG